This 808-nucleotide ribosomal RNA is filed under the name Pyrocoelia discicollis. RNAcentral describes it as "partial 16S rRNA". The stretch from base 288 to 476 matches the Rfam family "Archaeal large subunit ribosomal RNA", at positions 1803 to 2100 of the family's 2987-position model. Lineage: Eukaryota; Metazoa; Arthropoda; Insecta; Coleoptera; Lampyridae. The record is from RNAcentral.
UAAUUCUACUAUUAUUAAGUAAGUUUUUUUUUUUAAUUCUUAAGUUUUAAUAUUAAAUAUUUAAUGGGAUGAGCUUUUAUUUAUAUUUUUAUAAUAUAUAAAAUUUUAUAAUGUUUUGUAUAAUUUGAAUUGUUAAUCAUUAAUAAAUUAAUAUUUAGGUAUUUUUAUUAAAAGAUUUUUUUGUAUUUAAUUUUUUUAUUAAAAUAAAGCAUUUAAUUUUAAUUGUUUAAAAUUAUGAUAAAAUUAGUAAUAAUAAUUUAAUUUUGUUUUAUUUUGCAAGGUUAAUAAAAGGAAUUCGGCAAAUUUAUUUUCUGCCUGUUUAUUAAAAACAUGUUCUUUUGAUAAUAAUUUAAGGUCUAAUCUGCUCAAUGAGGAGUUAAAUAGCCGCAGUAUUUUGACUGUGCGAAGGUAGCAUAAUAAUUAGUCUCUUGAUUGGGGACUUGUAUGAAUGAUUGAACAAGAAAAUUUCUGUCUCUUUUUAAUUUUUAUUUGAAUUUAAUUUUUGAGUUAAAAUGCUCAAAUAUUUAUAAAAGACGAGAAGACCCCAUAGAGUUUUAUUUUUAUUUAUUUUUAGUAUAAUAAUUUUAAGGAAAAAUUAGUUGGGGUGACUAGAAGAUUUAAUAAACUCUUUAAAUUAAAAUCAUUGAUUUAUGAAUAUUAAGUCUAAUUUUUUAAGUUUAAAUUAAAUUACCUUGGGGAUAACAGCGUAAUUUCUUUUUAGAGUUCUUAUCAAAUAAGAAGAUUGCGACCUCGAUGUUGGAUUAAAAUUUAUUUUGGGUGUAGAAGCUUAAAAAUUAAGUCUGUUCGA